AUAAAGUUUAAUUUUAGCUUAAUAUUUUAUUUAAUUUUUUAUUUACAUGUAAAUUUUAGUAAGGUAAAGAAAUUAAUUUAAAUAGUUAAUUUUAAAUUUUUAUUCGCAGUAUAAAGAUUUAAUAAUUUAAGAAAUUAAGAAUUAAGAAUAAAUUUAAAUAUUGACAAAAUUUGUGCCAGCAGUUGCGGUUAUACAAGAAAUAUAAAUAAAAAUUAUUGGUAAGUAAUAAAUAGAAGUUAUUUAAUAAAAGUUAAAUUUAUUAGGUGAAAUUUUAAAUUUAAAAUUAUUAUAAGGAAAGUUUAUGAAAUUAUAAAAUUUAAGAGUUAAACUAGGAUUAGAUACCCUAUUAUUUUAAAUGUAAUAAAAUAAAUCAAAGGAUUAAUAGUUAAGAUCUUUAAAUUUAAAAAUUUUGGCGGUAUUUUAGUCUAUUUAGAGGAACCUGUUCUGUAAUCGAUAAUCCACGAGUUAAAUAACUUAAUUUAUUAGUUUGUAUAUCGUUGUUAUUAAAUAUUUUAUAAGAAUUAAAUGUUUAAGAGUUUUAAAGAGAAAAAAUUUCAAAUCAAGGUGCAGUUUAUAAUUAAGAAGAAAUGGGUUACAAUAGAUUUAUUUAAAUGAAUUUAUUUAUGAAAAAUGUAAUGAAGGUGGAUUUAAUAGUAAUAAAAUUAAUAUUAAUUUUAUGAUUUUAGCUCUAAAAUGUGUACAUAUCGCCCGUCGCUCUUAUUAUAAAGUAAGAUAAGUCGUAACAUAGUAGAUGUACUGGAAAGUGUAUCUGGAAUAA
This 778-nucleotide non-coding RNA is filed under the name Graptodytes varius. Lineage: Eukaryota; Metazoa; Arthropoda; Insecta; Coleoptera; Dytiscidae. The record is from RNAcentral.